CCCUUAGAUGUUCUGGGCCGCACGCGCGCUACACUGAUGCAUUCAACGAGUUUCUUCCUGGUCCGAGAGGAAUGGGUAACCUUUUGAAAGUGCAUCGUGAUAGGGAUAGACUAUUGCAAUUAUUGGUCUUCAACGAGGAAUUCCUAGUAGACGUAGUUCAUCAGACUGCAUCGAUUACGUCCCUGCCCUUUGUACACACCGCCCGUCGCUCCUACCGAUUGAAUGCUCAGGUGAGCCAUUCGGACUUUCAUCAUGCUGGUUUCCAGUUUUGAUGAAGGAAAGUCUUGCGAACCUUAUCAUUUAGGGGAAGGAGAAGUCGUAACA
This 324-nucleotide ribosomal RNA is filed under the name uncultured eukaryote. Its description in RNAcentral is "partial 18S ribosomal RNA". It matches the Rfam family "Eukaryotic small subunit ribosomal RNA", at positions 1470 to 1796 of the family's 1831-position model. The record is from RNAcentral.